CCUACGGGCGACUGCAGUCGAGAAUCAUUCACAAUGGGGGAAACCCUGAUGGUGCGACGCCGCGUGGGGGAAUGAAGGUCUUCGGAUUGUAAACCCCUGUCAUGUGGGAGCAAAUUAAAAAGAUAGUACCACAAGAGGGAGAGACGGCUAACUCUGUGCCAGCAGCCGCGGUAAUACAGAGGUCUCAAGCGUUGUUCGGAAUCACUGGGCGUAAAGCGUGCGUAGGCUGUUUCGUAAGUCGUGUGUGAAAGGCGCGGGCUCAACCCGCGGACGGCACAUGAUACUGCGAGACUAGAGUAAGGGAGGGGGAACCGGAAUUCUCGGUGUAGCAGUGAAAUGCGUAGAUAUCGAGAGGAACACUCGUGGCGAAGGCGGGUUCCUGGACAUUAACUGACGCUGAGGCACGAAGGCCAGGGGAGCGAAAGGGAUUAGAUACCCUUGUAGUC
Molecule: ribosomal RNA, 446 nt
Filed under: uncultured bacterium
Lineage: Bacteria
Description: partial 16S ribosomal RNA
Rfam family: Bacterial small subunit ribosomal RNA
Source: RNAcentral